CCUACGGGCGGCAGCAGUGGGGAAUAUUGCACAAUGGGGGAAACCCUGAUGCAGCAACGCCGCGUGAGUGAAGAAGUAUCUCGGGACGUAAAACUCUGUCAGCAGGGAAGAAAAUGACGGUACCUGACUAAGAAGCCCCGGCUAACUACGUGCCAGCAGCCGCGGUAAUACGUAGGGGGCAAGCGUUAUCCGGAUUUACUGGGUGUAAAGGGGGCGUAGGCGGGAGCACAAGUCCGGAGUGAAAUCCCGGGGCUUAACCCCGGAACUGCUUUUGAAACUGUGCGGCUGGAGUGCAGGGGGGGUAAGCGGAAUUCCUAGUGUAGCGGUGAAAUGCGUAGAUAUUAGGAGGAACACCGGUGGCGAAGGCGGCUUACUGGACUGUAACUGACGCUGAGGCACGAAAGCGUGGGGAGCAAACAGGAUUAGAUACCCGGGUAGUC
This 440-nucleotide ribosomal RNA is filed under the name uncultured bacterium. Its description in RNAcentral is "partial 16S ribosomal RNA". It matches the Rfam family "Bacterial small subunit ribosomal RNA", at positions 338 to 795 of the family's 1533-position model. The record is from RNAcentral.